CCCUUAGAUGUUCUGGGCCGCACGCGUGCUACACUGAUGCAUUCAACGAGUCUAAAACCUGGUCUGAUAGGGCUGGGUAAUCUUUUGAAAGUGCAUCGUGAUUGGGAUAGAUGAUUGCAAUUCUUCAUCUUCAACGAGGAAUGCCUAGUAAAUGCAAGUCAUCAGCUUGCAUUGAUUACGUCCCUGCCCUUUGUACACACCGCCCGUCGCUCCUACCGAUUGAAUGAUCCGAUGAAUACCAUGGAUUGAGAGUACGAAUAGGUUCGCUUAUUUCUGCUGCUCGAGAAGUGGAGUAAAUCUUAUCAUUUAGAGGAAGGAGAAGUCGUAACA
Molecule: ribosomal RNA, 330 nt
Filed under: uncultured eukaryote
Lineage: Eukaryota
Description: partial 18S ribosomal RNA
Rfam family: Eukaryotic small subunit ribosomal RNA
Source: RNAcentral